AUCAUAUCACCUGAAUAAUUCAGACCAGUUGGCCAAAAGGGCAACCUCUGACGCCAUUGGGAAAUGACUUGUCAACAGUAGCACACAUGGAAGAAGUAGAAGCAGAAUAUAAAGGGUGUAAAACAAAGUGGUAGAGUUGUGUGUUUACAUUGUACACUAAAUGUGAAAAGCACUUAAGAGCUCCAAGAUAACAGCUUGAAAGUUGGAAACCAACAAAGAGACCCGGAUAACUAUUAAAGAACACUGAAAGGAAAAUUUUAAAGGCAAUUUUUUGGAAUAGUCAACUCCACAUUGAAUGAUAAAUAAGAUUCGAAUUAAAAUCUCAUUUGGCGCUAAU
This is a long non-coding RNA of Eptesicus fuscus (big brown bat), 337 nucleotides long. RefSeq lists it as uncharacterized. The record is from RefSeq and is a predicted model, not a curated record. The transcript has 4 exons. Lineage: Eukaryota; Metazoa; Chordata; Mammalia; Chiroptera; Vespertilionidae.